ACAGUGGUGGUUCAGUGGUAGAAUUCUUACCUUCCAUGCAGACCUGGGUUCAAUUUCCAGCCAAUGCA
This 68-nucleotide transfer RNA is filed under the name Loxodonta africana (African savanna elephant). It matches the Rfam family "tRNA". From Rfam's summary of the family: Transfer RNA (tRNA) molecules are approximately 80 nucleotides in length. Lineage: Eukaryota; Metazoa; Chordata; Mammalia; Proboscidea; Elephantidae. The record is from Rfam by way of RNAcentral.